This 428-nucleotide long non-coding RNA is filed under the name Homo sapiens (human). RNAcentral's name for it is "non-protein coding lnc-PPFIBP2-1:1". Lineage: Eukaryota; Metazoa; Chordata; Mammalia; Primates; Hominidae. The record is from RNAcentral.
AAGAGAGAUAAACAGUGCUUUUGGGGUAAAAUCCAGUCAUAAAGAUGCCCUCUGCAAAGGGGAGGUCUAAGGCCUUCUCAACUUGCUCCUCCCACCUCACUGUUGUGUCCAUACACUAUGGAUUUGCUUGCUUUGUCUAUUUGAGGCCCAAGAACAGCAACUCCUUCGAUGAAGACAUGCUGACGGCCAUGAUAUAUACAAUACUGAUGCCUCUGCUUAACCCCAUCGUGUACAGUCUGAGAAACAAAGAAAUGCAGAUAGCCCUAAGAAAAACACUAGGCAGUGUAUUUGGGGUUUUCCCUCAGAAGACAAAAAAAGAGCCUGAACAUUUAAAAAAAUUACACAGCAUUGAUAAAUAAAGGUGAGAAAAGUGGAGUACUUCUAAUUAAUAUCACUUUGUGCACAAAGUGGUUAAAGUAUUGUCUAAU